GACGAACGCUGGCGGCGUGCUUAACACAUGCAAGUCGAACGGAAAGGCCCUGCUUUUGUGGGGUGCUCGAGUGGCGAACGGGUGAGUAACACGUGAGUAACCUGCCCUUGACUUUGGGAUAACUUCAGGAAACUGGGGCUAAUACCGGAUAGGAGCUCCUGCUGCAUGGUGGGGGUUGGAAAGUUUCGGCGGUUGGGGAUGGACUCGCGGGUUAUGAGCUGGGUGGUGAGGUAGGGGCUUACCAAGGCUUUGAGGGGUAGCCGGCCUGAGAGGGGGACCGGCCACAGUGGAACUGGGACGCGGUCCAGACUCAGAUGGGAGGCAGAGGUGGGGAAGCUGCCGCAAGGGGGGAAAGCGUGACGGGGCAACGCCGCGUGAGUGAUGAAGGUCUUCGGAUCGGAAAACGCUGUUAGUAGGGAAGAACAAAUGUGUAAGUAACUAUGCAGGUCGUGAAGGUACCUAAUCAGAAAGACACGGCGAACUACGUG
RNAcentral lists this ribosomal RNA (488 nucleotides) under uncultured bacterium. Its description in RNAcentral is "partial 16S ribosomal RNA". It matches the Rfam family "Bacterial small subunit ribosomal RNA", at positions 28 to 507 of the family's 1533-position model. The record is from RNAcentral.